CCUACGGGAGGUAGCAGUGAGGAAUAUUGGGCAAUGGGCGCGAGCCUGAACCAGCCAAGUAGCGUGAAGGAUGACUGCCCUACGGGUUGUAAACUUCUUUUGUAGAGGAAUAAAGUGAGGCACGUAUGCCUUUUUGUAUGUACUUUAUGAAUAAGGAUCGGCUAACUCCAUGCCAGCAGCCGCGGUAAUACGGAGGAUCCGAGCGUUAUCCGGAUUUAUUGGGUUUAAAGGGAGCGUAGAUGGGUUGUUAAGUCAGUUGUGAAAGUUUGCGGCUCAACCGUAAAAUUGCAAUUGAUACUGGCAGUCUUGAGUACAGGUGAGGUAGGCGGAAUUCGUGGUGUAGCGGUGAAAUGCGUAGAUAUCACGAAGAACUCCGAUUGCGAAGGCAGCUUACUAACCUGCCACUGACAUUGAUGCGCGAAAGUGUGGGUAGCAAACAGGAUUAGAUACCCCUGUAGUC
RNAcentral lists this ribosomal RNA (460 nucleotides) under uncultured bacterium. RNAcentral's name for it is "partial 16S ribosomal RNA". It matches the Rfam family "Bacterial small subunit ribosomal RNA", at positions 338 to 795 of the family's 1533-position model. The record is from RNAcentral.